RNAcentral lists this ribosomal RNA (115 nucleotides) under uncultured bacterium. Its description in RNAcentral is "partial 16S ribosomal RNA". It matches the Rfam family "Bacterial small subunit ribosomal RNA", at positions 1360 to 1482 of the family's 1533-position model. The record is from RNAcentral.
CGGUGAAUACGUUCCCGGGACCUUGCACACACCGCCCGUCAAGCCAUGGAAGCUGGGUGUACCUAAAGUCGGUAACCGCAAGGAGCCGCCUAGGGUAAAACUAGUAACUGGGGCU